GCCUUUGAGCUUAUACUGAAUUAUACCACCAGCUUUCCUAGGUCUUGAAGCUUACAGACAGCAGAUCUUGGGACUUCUCAGGCACCAUAAUCAAUCAUAGAUAAAUGAUCCAAUGAUUCGGAACUUGAAAAGUGGUAGCUUUAUGAAUUCUCCUUAAGAAGAAACCUGUGCCCCGAUCUUGCCUACUCACCCAAAGGCACUGUGAGAUAGCAUCAAAGGAACAGCUAGUAAGAGACACAGAGCCAGAAAUCAGGGAAGUAAAAUACACUUGACAUCUACAUUCGGAAAGAAAUUUUAGGAGGCAGAAGCAAAUGGAUCAGAAGCUGCUUAUAUUUUUGCAAGAUUACCAAAGAAACCAUUGGUGGAGAAAGUUCUGUGACCAACUUGUCUGAGUCUAGUAAGACUGAACGCUCACACACAAGUUUCAUGAAGUGGGUUUGAUACUUACAGAUAAGCAGCAAGGACCAACAGAAGCUGAUGAUCUAUGGUGAACUUUUUCCCAAGGCUCCGGAAAGCUGCCUAAAGUAGAUGGAGUCUUCUCUGUGUGUGCCCCACUGGUCCUGCAGUUGAAGGAUCCGGUAAAGCAGCCUGCCCUGGGUUUUACACUCCAGAGGAACGUGAUUCGCUGGACUAAAGCAUUGAAGUGCAUCCUGUUUCCGGGGGGCACUGGAACAGAGCCUGGUCUGUUCUAGCCAGUCCCUUUCUAUCUCAGGAUGUUGCAUUCCCAGUACAUUCUACAGUUAUUCUUGAGAACUAUAAUCAAAUAAGCAGGGAGAACUGGGUAAGU
Homo sapiens (human) is the source of this 787-nucleotide long non-coding RNA. RefSeq lists it as uncharacterized. Lineage: Eukaryota; Metazoa; Chordata; Mammalia; Primates; Hominidae. The transcript is spliced from 3 exons. The record is from RefSeq and is a predicted model, not a curated record.